This 245-nucleotide long non-coding RNA is filed under the name Elaeis guineensis (African oil palm). RNAcentral describes it as "long non-coding RNA (EGUI_LNC007395)". The record is from RNAcentral. Lineage: Eukaryota; Viridiplantae; Streptophyta; Magnoliopsida; Arecales; Arecaceae.
UAUAAGAGGACUUGGACUAGCCAUAAUGUGGAUUGCCAGUCAUGGGCUGAAUCAUGACAUUCUGGAUUACCAGUCAUAGGCCGAAUCAUGAUGUCUUGAUUUGUCACCAUGGGUCGAAGCACAGAUAUUCUAGUUUGCUAUCAUGAGUCGAAGUGAAGAUAUCUUGAUUUGUCAUGGUGGAUCGAAGUAUAGAUAUUAUGAAUUGCCAUCACAGACUGAAGUAUGGUUUAUAAUUUGUCAGUCAU